RNAcentral lists this ribosomal RNA (60 nucleotides) under Pestalotiopsis zonata. RNAcentral describes it as "partial 28S ribosomal RNA". Lineage: Eukaryota; Fungi; Ascomycota; Sordariomycetes; Amphisphaeriales; Sporocadaceae. The record is from RNAcentral.
UUGACCUCGGAUCAGGUAGGAAUACCCGCUGAACUUAAGCAUAUCAAUAAGCGGGAGGAG